GCUGGUGUGGCUCAGUGGAUAGAGCAUCAGCCUGCAGACUGAAGGGUCCCAGGUUUGAUUCCGGUCAAGGGCA
Molecule: transfer RNA, 73 nt
Filed under: Myotis brandtii (Brandt's bat)
Lineage: Eukaryota; Metazoa; Chordata; Mammalia; Chiroptera; Vespertilionidae
Rfam family: tRNA
About the family: Transfer RNA (tRNA) molecules are approximately 80 nucleotides in length.
Source: Rfam by way of RNAcentral